UACGUAGGGUGCAAGCGUUAAUCGGAAUUACUGGGCGUAAAGCGUGCGUAGGCGGUUGGCAAAGUCAGCUGUGAAAGCCCCGGGCUUAACCUGGGAAUGGCGGUUGAAACUAGUCGACUAGAAUCUGGCAGAGGGGGGUGGAAUUCCACGUGUAGCAGUGAAAUGCGUAGAGAUGUGGAGGAACACCGAUGGCGAAGGCAGCCCCCUGGGCUGAGAUUGACGCUCAGGCACGAAAGCGUGGGGAGCAAACAGG
Molecule: ribosomal RNA, 253 nt
Filed under: uncultured bacterium
Lineage: Bacteria
Description: partial 16S ribosomal RNA
Rfam family: Bacterial small subunit ribosomal RNA
Source: RNAcentral